GAUGAAGAACGUAGCGAAAUGCGAUAAGUAAUGUGAAUUGCAGAAUUCAGUGAAUCAUCGAAUCUUUGAACGCACAUUGCGCCCGCCAGUAUUCUGGCGGGCAUGCCUGUUCGAGCGUCAUUUCAACCAUCAAGCCCCCGGCUUGUGUUGGGGACCUGCGGCUGCCGCAGGCCCUGAAAACCAGUGGCGGGCUCGCUAGUCACUCCGAGCGUAGUAAUACAUCUCGCUCAGGGCGUGCUGCGGGUUCCGGCCGUUAAAAAACCUUAUUUACCCAAGGUUGACCUCGGAUCAGUUAGGAAGACCCGCUGAACUUAAGCAUAUCAAUAAGCGAGGA
Molecule: unclassified non-coding RNA, 334 nt
Filed under: soil metagenome
Description: partial contains 5.8S ribosomal RNA, internal transcribed spacer 2, and large subunit ribosomal RNA
Rfam family: 5.8S ribosomal RNA (bases 1-120)
Source: RNAcentral